Molecule: ribosomal RNA, 305 nt
Filed under: uncultured bacterium
Lineage: Bacteria
Description: bacterial SSU rRNA
Rfam family: Bacterial small subunit ribosomal RNA
Source: RNAcentral
UUUCCUACGGGGCGCAGCAGUGGGGAAUAUUGCACAAUGGGCGAAAGCCUGAUGCAGCAACGCCGCGUGAAGGAAGACGGUUUUCGGAUUGUAAACUUCUGUUCUUAGUGAAGAAUAAUGACGGUAACUAAGGAGCAAGCCACGGCUAACUACGUGCCAGCAGCCGCGGUAAUACGUAGGGGGCAAGCGUUAUCCGGAUUUACUGGGUGUAAAGGGAGCGUAGACGGCAUAGCAAGUCUGAUGUGAAAGAUCGGGGCUCAACCCCGGGCCUGCAUUGGAAACUGUUAAGCUGGAGUACAGGAGAG